GACCAUAUUGUGGCGCAACGGUAGCGCGUCUGACUCCAGAUCAGAAGGUUGCGUGUUCAAAUCACGUCGGGGUCA
Trichomycterus rosablanca is the source of this 75-nucleotide non-coding RNA. The record is from the annotation of a RefSeq genome assembly. Lineage: Eukaryota; Metazoa; Chordata; Actinopteri; Siluriformes; Trichomycteridae.